GACGAACGCUGGUGGCGUGCCUAAUACAUGCCAGUAGAACGCACAGUUUAUACCGUAGCUUGCUACACCAUAAACUGUGAGUUGCGAACGGGUGAGUAACGCGUAGGUAACCUGCCUGGUAGCGGGGGAUAACUAUUGGAAACGAUAGCUAAUACCGCAUAAUAUUGAUUAUUGCAUGAUAAUUGAUUGAAGGAUGCUAUUGCAUCACUACCAGAUGGACCUGCGUUGUAUUAGCUAGUAGGUGAGGUAACGGCUCACCUAGGCGACGAUACAUAGCCGACCUGAGAGGGUGAUCGGCCACACUGGGACUGAGACACGGCCCAGACUCCUACGGGAGGCAGCAGUAGGGAAUCUUCGGCAAUGGACGAAAGUCUGACCGAGCAACGCCGCGUGAGUGAAGAAGGUUUUCGGAUCGUAAAGCUCUGUUGUAAGAGAAGAACGGGUGUGAGAGUGGAAAGUUCACACUGUGACGGUAUCUUACCAGAAAGGGACGGCUAACUACGUG
This 505-nucleotide ribosomal RNA is filed under the name uncultured bacterium. RNAcentral's name for it is "partial 16S ribosomal RNA". It matches the Rfam family "Bacterial small subunit ribosomal RNA", at positions 28 to 507 of the family's 1533-position model. The record is from RNAcentral.